Molecule: transfer RNA, 76 nt
Filed under: Escherichia coli
Lineage: Bacteria; Pseudomonadati; Pseudomonadota; Gammaproteobacteria; Enterobacterales; Enterobacteriaceae
Also listed under: 4 other names
Description: tRNA-Asn
Rfam family: tRNA
About the family: Transfer RNA (tRNA) molecules are approximately 80 nucleotides in length. Their secondary structure includes four short double-helical elements and three loops (D, anti-codon, and T loops).
Source: RNAcentral
UCCUCUGUAGUUCAGUCGGUAGAACGGCGGACUGUUAAUCCGUAUGUCACUAGUUCGAGUCCAGUCAGAGGAGCCA